GAUCAAGCUAUUAAGGGUGCAUGGUGGAUGCCUAGGUGUCGAGAGGCGAUGAAGGACGUGGUAGGCUGCGAUAAGCUCCGGGGAGCCGUCAAACAGGCCUUGAUCCGGAGAUCUCCGAAUGGGGCAACCCGGCGUCACUUCGCAAGAAGAUGGCGUCACGGCGGGCUGAAUGUAUAGGCCCGUUCGAGCGAACCCAGUGAACUGAAACAUCUCAGUAGCUGGAGGAAAGGAAAUCAACCGAGACUCCGUUAGUAGCGGCGAGCGAAAGCGGAUAUAGCCCAAACCGGGAGUGAUCCCGGGGUUGUGGAAGCCGAGAGCAGUUACAAAAGCAUCACUAGCGGAAGCGUCUGGAAAGGCGCACCAUAGAGGGUGACAGUCCCGUACGCGACAGUGACCGCUCUGCGUUACCAUCGGCUAUCCAGAGUAGCACCAUGCUCGUGGAACGUGGUGUGAAGCUGGGGGGCCCACCCUCCAAGGCUAAGUACUCCUCGACAACCGAUAGAGCACAAGUAGGGUGACUGAAAGGUGAAAAGAACCCUUACAAAGGGAGUUCAAAGAACCUGAAACCAUGUACCUACAAGCUGUGGGAGUCCUAUGCCAUGCCUUCGGGUAUGGAAUGGAUGACCGCGUACCUUUUGCAUAAUGGACCGGCGAGUUACCGUCUACGGCUUGGUUAAGCACUUCCGGUGCGGAGCCGAAGCGAAAGCGAGUCUGAAUAGGGCGACAUUGUCGUAGGUGGUAGACCCGAAACCAGGUGAUCUACCCAUGGCCAGGAUGAAGUGCCCGUAAAAGGGUGCGGAGGUCCGAACCGGUUAACGUUGAAAAGUUAUCGGAUGAGCUGUGGGGAGGAGUAAAAGUCUAAUCAAACCUGGAGAUAUCUGGUUCUCCUCGAAAUGCCUUUCGGGGCAGCCUCGGGCCACUACGUCACGGGGGUAGAGCUACUGAAUGAAACGCAGGGGCCACCAGCCUACUGCCUUCAAUCAAACUCCGAAUACCGUGACGACUAUCCCGGGAGUGAGACUGCGGGGGAUAACCUUCGUGGUCGAAAGGGAAACAACCCAGCCCGCCUGCUAAGGUCCCAAAUUUCCGCUGAGUGCAUAAGGAUGUCUAGUCUCUGAGACAACCGGGAUGUUGGCUUAGAAGCAGCCACCAUUUAAAAAGUGCGUAAUAGCUUACCGGUCGAGAAACUGGGCACCGAUAAUGAACGGGACUAAGCGGAAAACCGAAGCAGCGGACCGUGCGGCCAAGCGGCCGUGCGAUGGUAGAGGAGCGUUGAUAGGCAGAUACAGGCCGUACCGUAAGGAGCGGUGAUGGGCCUAUCAAGUGCGCAUGCCGGUAUGAGUAACGAGAAAGCGGGUGAAAACCCCGCUCGCCGAAAACCUAAGGGUUCCUGGGGAAGGUCAAUCCGCCCAGGGUUAGCCGGAACCUAAGGCGAGGCUGAAAGGCGUAGCCGAUGGACAGCAGGUUAAUAUUCCUGCGCCCCGUCAGGAGGUUGAGUCGUACGUGCGUUUUCUCAAACCGUGGCCCACGAUUAGGUUCGAGGGUGCCCGAGAGGGCGAGGCCGAUUUGUUGCCGAAGCAUGGAGCGAGGGAACCGAGAAAAGCGUGCGAGGACGAAUGGCGGGUCCGUACUAAAACUGACACAGGUAGGUGAGGCGCGUAGCCUCAGGCGCUCGAGAGAACGGUCCUUAAGGAACUAGGCAUAUUUGCCCCGUAACUUCGGGAUAAGGGGUCCCUCCUUGGAUAGUAGCAAUAUUGUCCAAGAGGGCACAGCAAAGCGGCUCUGGGAACUGUUUAUCAAAAACACAGGUCUCUGCUAACUCGUACAGAGGAUGUAUAGAGACUGACGCCUGCUCGGUGCCGGAAGGUUAAGGAAGUAGGUCAUCCCUUCGGGGAGAAGCUUGCAACCGAAGCCCCGGUUAACGGCGGCCCUAACUAUGAGGGUCCUAAGGUAGCGAAGUUCCUUGUCGGGUAAGUUCCGACGCGCAUGAAUGGCGUAAUCACUGGAGCACUGUCUCAAGGACCGACUCGGUGAAAUUGGACUUGUGGUGAAGAUACCACAUACCCACGGCAAGACGGAAAGACCCCGUGAACCUUUACUGUAGCCUGGUAUUGGCCACAGGCAUCACAUGCGUAGGAUAGGUGGGAGGCGAUAAUCUGGCGGCCCAGGCCGUCAGGGAGCCAACGGUGAAAUACCACUCUUGUGCUGUUUGUUGCCUAACUUUGUCCCGUGAAUCCGGGCAGAGGACCGUGCUAGGUGGGCAGUUUGGCUGGGGCGGUCUCCUCCCAAAGAGUAACGGAGGAGCGCAAAGGUCGGCUCAGCGCGGUUGGCAAUCGCGUUUUGAGUGUAAGGGCACAAGCCGGCUUAACUGCGAGUCCGACGGGACGAGCAGAUACGAAAGUAGGCCCUAGUGAUCCGGUGAUCCCGUGUGGAAGGGUCAUCGCUCAACGGACAAAAGGUACUCCGGGGAUAACAGGCUGAUCUCCCCCGAGCGUCCAUAGCGGCGGGGAGGUUUGGCACCUCGA
Molecule: ribosomal RNA, 2525 nt
Filed under: Phycisphaerae bacterium
Lineage: Bacteria; Pseudomonadati; Planctomycetota; Phycisphaerae
Description: partial 23S ribosomal RNA
Rfam family: Bacterial large subunit ribosomal RNA
Source: RNAcentral